UACAGAGGCCACAAGCGUUAGGCGGAAUCACUGGGCUUAAAGCGUGUGUAGGCGGACCGUUAAGUGCUUUGUGAAAUCCCACGGCUCAACCGUGGAACUGCUUGGCAUACUGGCGGUCUUGAGCCACCUAGGGGCAGCUGGAACUAACGGUGGAGCGGUGAAAUGCGUAGAUAUCGUUAGGAACGCCAACGGUGAAAAAAGGCUGCGGGGGGUGAGCUGACGCUGAGACACGAAAGCCAGGGGAGCAAACGGG
This 253-nucleotide ribosomal RNA is filed under the name uncultured bacterium. RNAcentral describes it as "partial 16S ribosomal RNA". It matches the Rfam family "Bacterial small subunit ribosomal RNA", at positions 524 to 776 of the family's 1533-position model. The record is from RNAcentral.